Small nucleolar RNA from Nycticebus coucang (slow loris), 104 nucleotides. RefSeq annotates it as small nucleolar RNA U13. NCBI's taxonomy places the organism in Eukaryota, Metazoa, Chordata, Mammalia, Primates, Lorisidae. The transcript has a single exon. The record is from RefSeq and is a predicted model, not a curated record.
AUUUUUCUGUAGUUUAUAAGCAUGGUGACUGGGCUUCCAGAUGCCUGUGUGAGAUGUGCCUCCCUCAAACCUUGUUAUGACAUCAGCACAUUUCCUAUCUGAGG